RNAcentral lists this signal recognition particle RNA (291 nucleotides) under Cebus imitator (Panamanian white-faced capuchin). Its description in RNAcentral is "Metazoan signal recognition particle RNA (ENSCCAG00000004478.1)". It matches the Rfam family "Metazoan signal recognition particle RNA". From Rfam's summary of the family: The signal recognition particle (SRP) is a universally conserved ribonucleoprotein. It is involved in the co-translational targeting of proteins to membranes. The eukaryotic SRP consists of a 300-nucleotide 7S RNA and six proteins: SRPs 72, 68, 54, 19, 14, and 9. The record is from RNAcentral. Lineage: Eukaryota; Metazoa; Chordata; Mammalia; Primates; Cebidae.
GCCGAGCGCAGUGGUGCGUGCCAGCUACUCUCGGGAGGCUGAGGCUGGAGGAUCACUUGAGCCAGGAGUUCUGGGCUGUAGUGCGCUAUGCCAAUCAGGUGUCCGCACUAAGUUCGACAUCAAUAUGAUGACCUGCCGGGAGCAGGGGACCACUAGGUUGCCUAAGGAGGGAUAAACCAGCCCAGGUCAGAAACGGAACAGGUCAAAACUCCCGUGCUGAUCAGUAGUGGGAUCUCACCUAUGAAUAGCCACUGCACUCCAGCCUGGGCAACAUAGCGAGACCCCGUCUCU